This 314-nucleotide unclassified non-coding RNA is filed under the name Laccaria sp. RNAcentral's name for it is "partial internal transcribed spacer region". The stretch from base 1 to 46 matches the Rfam family "Eukaryotic small subunit ribosomal RNA", at positions 1786 to 1831 of the family's 1831-position model. The record is from RNAcentral. Lineage: Eukaryota; Fungi; Basidiomycota; Agaricomycetes; Agaricales; Hydnangiaceae.
AAGUCGUAACAAGGUUUCCGUAGGUGAACCUGCGGAAGGAUCAUUAUUGAAUAAACCUGAUGUGACUGUUAGCUGGCUUUUCGAAGCAUGUGCUCGUCCAUCAUCUUUAUCUCUCCACCUGUGCACAUUUUGUAGUCUUGGAUACCUCUCGAGGAAACUCGGAUUUUAGGAUUGCCGUGCUGUACAAGUCGGCUUUUCUUUCAUUUCCAAGACUAUGUUUUUAUAUACACCAAAGUAUGUUUAUAGAAUGUUAUCAAUGGGAACUUGUUUCCUAUAAAAUUAUACAACUUUCAGCAACGGAUCUCUUGGCUCUC